Molecule: ribosomal RNA, 445 nt
Filed under: uncultured bacterium
Lineage: Bacteria
Description: partial 16S ribosomal RNA
Rfam family: Bacterial small subunit ribosomal RNA
Source: RNAcentral
GUGAGGAAUAUUGGUCAAUGGGCGGGAGCCUGAACCAGCCAAGUCGCGUGAAGGAAGAAGGAUCUAUGGUUCGUAAACUUCUUUUGCAGGGGAAUAAAGUGCAGGACGUGUCCUGUUUUGUAUGUACCCUGAGAAUAAGGAUCGGCUAACUCCGUGCCAGCAGCCGCGGUAAUACGGAGGAUCCGAGCGUUAUCCGGAUGUAUUGGGUUUAAAGGGUGCGUAGGUGGUUUGAUAAGUCAGCGGUGAAAGUUUGCAGCUUAACUGUAAAAAUGCCGUUGAAACUGUCGGACUUGAGUGUAAAUGAGGUAGGCGGAAUGCGUGGUGUAGCGGUGAAAUGCAUAGAUAUCACGCAGAACUCCGAUUGCGAAGGCAGCUUACUAAGCUACAACUGACACUGAAGCACGAAAGCGUGGGGAUCAAACAGGAUUAGAAACCCUUGUAGUCC